Molecule: transfer RNA, 76 nt
Filed under: Candidatus Mycoplasma haematohominis
Lineage: Bacteria; Bacillati; Mycoplasmatota; Mollicutes; Mycoplasmatales; Mycoplasmataceae
Description: Candidatus Mycoplasma haemohominis tRNA-Arg
Rfam family: tRNA
About the family: Transfer RNA (tRNA) molecules are approximately 80 nucleotides in length. Their secondary structure includes four short double-helical elements and three loops (D, anti-codon, and T loops). Further hydrogen bonds mediate the characteristic L-shaped molecular structure. tRNAs have two regions of fundamental functional importance: the anti-codon, which is responsible for specific mRNA codon recognition, and the 3' end, to which the tRNAs corresponding amino acid is attached (by aminoacyl-tRNA synthetases). tRNAs cope with the degeneracy of the genetic code in two manners: having more than one tRNA (with a specific anti-codon) for a particular amino acid; and 'wobble' base-pairing, i.e. permitting non-standard base-pairing at the 3rd anti-codon position.
Source: RNAcentral
CUGUCUAUAGCUCAAUGGAUAGAGCAUUAGCUUGCGGAGCUAAAGGUUAUAAGUUCGAAUCUUAUUAGACAGGCCA